CGUAGGGUCCGAGCGUUGUCCGGAAUUAUUGGGCGUAAAGAGCUCGUAGGCGGUUUGUCGCGUCUGCUGUGAAAUCCCGAGGCUCAACCUCGGGUCUGCAGUGGGUACGGGCAGACUGGAGUGCGGUAGGGGAGAAUGGAAUUCCUGGUGUAGCGGUGGAAUGCGCAGAUAUCAGGAGGAACACCGAUGGCGGAGGCAGUUCUCUGGGCCGUAACUGACGCUGAGGAGCGAAAGCGUGGGGAGCGAACAGG
This 251-nucleotide ribosomal RNA is filed under the name uncultured bacterium. Its description in RNAcentral is "partial 16S ribosomal RNA". It matches the Rfam family "Bacterial small subunit ribosomal RNA", at positions 526 to 776 of the family's 1533-position model. The record is from RNAcentral.